GAAACCAACAGGGAUUGCCUUAGUAACGGCGAGUGAAGCGGCAAUAGCUCAAAUUUGAAAUCUGGCGCUUGCGUCCGAGUUGUAAUUUGUAGAGGAUGAUUUUGGUUAGGUACCUUUCGAGUUCCUUGGAACAGGACGCCUUAGAGGGUGAGAGCCCCGUACGAUUGGAUGCCGAGCCUCUGUAAAUCUCCUUCGACGAGUCGAGUAGUUUGGGAAUGCUGCUCUAAAUGGGAGGUAAAUUUCUUCUAAAGCUAAAUACCGGCCAGAGACCGAUAGCGCACAAGUAGAGUGAUCGAAAGAUGAAAAGCACUUUGAAAAGAGGGUUAAAUAGCACGUGAAAUUGUUGAAAGGGAAGGAUUUAUGACCAGACUUUUUCUAGGAGAAUCAUCCGGUGUUCUCACCGGUGCACUUCUUUUAGUUUAGGCCAGCAUCGACUUUCGGCGGUGGAUAAAAGCUUUAGGAAUGUGGCUUCUCUCGGGAAGUGUUAAUAGCCUAUUGUAUAAUACACUGCUGGGGGUCGAGGUACGCGCUUCUGCAAGGAUGCUGGCGUAAUGGUUAUCAAUCACCCGUCUUGAAACACGGACCAAGGAGUCGAACAUUUGUGCGAGUGUUUGGGUGUUAAACCCUCACGCGUAAUGAAAGUGAACGGAGGUGAGAGCCCUUACGGGUGCAUCAUCGACCGAUCCUGAUGUUUUCGGAUGGAUUUGAGUAAGAGCAUAAAUGUUCGGACCCGAAAGAUGGUGAACUAUGCGUGGAUAGGGUGAAGCCAGAGGAAACUCUGGUGGAGGCUCGCAGCGGUUCUGACGUGCAAAUCGAUCGUCAAAUCUGCGCAUGGGGGCGAAAGACUAAUCGAACCAUCUAGUAGCUGGUUACCG
Molecule: ribosomal RNA, 875 nt
Filed under: Bartalinia robillardoides
Lineage: Eukaryota; Fungi; Ascomycota; Sordariomycetes; Amphisphaeriales; Sporocadaceae
Description: LSU rRNA
Rfam family: Eukaryotic large subunit ribosomal RNA
Source: RNAcentral